UCCCUGAUGGUCCAGUGGUUAGGUUAGGACUUGGCACUUUCACUGCCAUGGCUCAGGUUCAAUCCCUGGUCAGGGAA
Molecule: non-coding RNA, 77 nt
Organism: Hippopotamus amphibius kiboko
Lineage: Eukaryota; Metazoa; Chordata; Mammalia; Artiodactyla; Hippopotamidae
Source: the annotation of a RefSeq genome assembly